RNAcentral lists this ribosomal RNA (1566 nucleotides) under Pristimantis toftae (Pachitea robber frog). RNAcentral's name for it is "16S ribosomal RNA". It matches the Rfam family "Bacterial large subunit ribosomal RNA", at positions 373 to 2925 of the family's 2925-position model. The record is from RNAcentral. Lineage: Eukaryota; Metazoa; Chordata; Amphibia; Anura; Strabomantidae.
CUAAAAAUCUAGCCCACCAAACAACACCCACUCACACCACUAAGUAAAAUAUUUUUUCAACCUAGUAAAGAAGAUUAAAAAAUUCCUACGGAGCUAUACUCUUGUACCGGCAAGGGAAAGAUGAAAUAAUAAUGAAAUAAUUAUAAGCACAAAAUAGUAGAGUCUUACCCUCGUACCUUUUGCAUCAUGGUUUAGCUAGUCUAAUUAGGCAAAAAGCUUUUAAGUCCAAGCCCCCGAAACUAAGUGAGCUAAUUUAGGGCAGCCUACGAGCUAACUCAUCUAUGUUGCAAUAUAGUGGGAAGACCUUAAAAUAGAGGUGACAAAUCUAACGAACUUAGUUAUAGCUGGUUUCUCAGGAAAAUGAAUGUUAGUUCCGCCUAAAGCCACCAAAAUUUAAACAAAUCCCACAUGACUUUAGAGUAAUUCAAACAAGGUACAGCCUGUUUGACAUCGGACACAACCCCAGCUUACGGGUAACACUAUUAAAAACUUCAAUAAGUGGGCCUAAUAGCAGCCACCUUUUAAAAAGCGUCAAAGCUUCAAUGUUUUAAAUAAUAACUAAGCCAAUAUAGACCCCUAUAACCGUACUGAGAAGUUCUAUACAGUAUAGAAACUUUUAUGCUAAAACUAGUAACAAGAGUUUGUACUCUCUAAAUGCGGGCAUAGGCCAGUAAGAACCCAUCCCUGGCAAUUAGCAAGCAAAAUAAUAACCCAUCAGGAAAACCUUAUUAUUAUAAAUGUUAACCUAACACCAGAGCAUUUCUAGAAAGAUUAAAAGAUAAAGAAGGAACUCGGCAAACAUAAACCCCGCCUGUUUACCAAAAACAUCGCCUCUUGAAUUUAUUAGAGGUCCAGCCUGCCCAGUGACUUCUGUUUAACGGCCGCGGUAUCCUAACCGUGCGAAGGUAGCGUAAUCACUUGUCUUCUAAAUAAAGACUAGUAUGAAAGGCAUCACGAGGGUUUAACUGUCUCCUCUCUCUAAUCAGUGAACCUAAUCUCCCCAUGAAAAAGCGGGGAUUCCCUUAUAAGACGAGAAGACCCUAUGGAGCUUAAAACAUCCUACACGUGCCUAACAAUUAUCUACCCCGGUACCCACACCCCUCUGCACGAUGAUUUUAUGUUUUUGGUUGGGGUGACCGCGGAGAAUAACACAUCCCCCGCAAUGAAAGGAGUCUCUCCUUAACUGUAAGCCACAACUUUAUGUAUUAAUAUAUUAACAUCAUUGACCCAAUAAAUUGAUUAAUGAACCAAGUUACCCUAGGGAUAACAGCGCAAUCCACUUCCAGAGCCCCUAUCGACAAGUGGGCUUACGACCUCGAUGUUGGAUCGGGGUAUCCUAGUGGUGCAGCCGCUACCUAAAGGUUCGUUUGUUCAACGAUUAAAACCCCACGUGAUCUGAGUUCAGACCGGAGUAAUCCAGGUCGGUUUCUAUCUAUAACAGAGCUAUUUUCAGUACGAAAGGACCAAAACAGCAUGGCCUAUACUCCAAGCAAGCCAUAGCUAAUAAUUUCUGCUAACCAAUCAAAAAUCACUAGCCUAACACUCCCUCACCUUCAAGAGAAGAAC